Molecule: ribosomal RNA, 460 nt
Filed under: uncultured bacterium
Lineage: Bacteria
Description: partial 16S ribosomal RNA
Rfam family: Bacterial small subunit ribosomal RNA
Source: RNAcentral
CCUACGGGCGGCAGCAGUGAGGAAUAUUGGUCAAUGGGCGAGAGCCUGAACCAGCCAAGCCGCGGGAGGGAUGAAGGUACAAUGGUUUGUAAACUUCUUUUAUAUGGGAAUAAAGGGAGGAACGUGUCACCGUUUGUAUGUACCAUAAGAAUAAGCAUCGACUAACUCCGUGCCAGCAGCCGCGGUAAUACGGAGGAGGCGAGCGUUAUCCGGAAUUACUGGGUGUAAAGGGUGCGUAGGUGGGUAAGUAAGUCUGCAGUGAAAGUUGGGGGCCCAACCCCUGAAUUGCCUUGGAAACUGGAUGGCUUGAGUGCAGGUGAGGUAAGUGGAAUGCCUGGUGUAGCGGUGAAAUGCGUAGAUAUCACGAAGAACACCAAUGGCGAAGGCAGCUUGCUGGACUAUAACUGACACUGAGGCACGAAAGCGUGGGGAUCAAACAGGAUUAGAUACCCCAGUAGUC